UGGGGAAUAUUGCACAAUGGGCGCAAGCCUGAUGCAGCCAUGCCGCGUGUAUGAAGAAGGCCUGCGGGUUGUAAAGUACUAUCAGCGGGGAGGAAGGCGAUAAGGUUAAUAACCUUGUCGAUUGACGUUACCCGCAGAAGAAGCACCGGCUAACUCCGUGCCAGCAGCCGCGGUAAUACGGAGGGUGCAAGCGUUAAUCGGAAUUACUGGGCGUAAAGCGCACGCAGGCGGUCUGUCAAGUCGGAUGUGAAAUCCCCGGGCUCAACCUGGGAACUGCAUUCGAAACUGGCAGGCUAGAGUCUUGUAGAGGGGGGUAGAAUUCCAGGUGUAGCGGUGAAAUGCGUAGAGAUCUGGAGGAAUACCGGUGGCGAAGGCGGCCCCCUGGACAAAGACUGACGCUCAGGUGCGAAAGCGUGGGGAGCAAACA
Molecule: ribosomal RNA, 427 nt
Filed under: uncultured bacterium
Lineage: Bacteria
Description: partial 16S ribosomal RNA
Rfam family: Bacterial small subunit ribosomal RNA
Source: RNAcentral